UCACUACUUGCGUAGGCAGUCUGGCUAGAGUCCCCACCAUUACGUGCUGGUAACUAACCACAGGGGUUGCGCUCGUUGCGCCACUUAAGGCAACACCUCACGGCACGAGCUGACGACAGCCAUGCAGCACCUUCCGGCCCGUCCCGAAGGAAAGCUCCCUUUCAGGAGCCGGCAGGCCGGAUUUAGCCCAGGUAAGGUGGGGAUGACGUUUAGGAGCUCGAC
RNAcentral lists this unclassified non-coding RNA (222 nucleotides) under uncultured Bacteroidota bacterium. RNAcentral's name for it is "uncultured Bacteroidetes bacterium contains 16S-23S intergenic spacer region". Lineage: Bacteria; Pseudomonadati; Bacteroidota. The record is from RNAcentral.